UAGGAGCUUAANUCCUAAAUUGCCAUUGAUACUGGCGGGCUUGAGUGUAGAUGAGGUAGGCGGAAUGCGUGGUGUAGCGGUGGAAUGCAUAGAUAUCACGCAGAANUCCGAUUGCGAAGGCAGCUUACUAAGGUACAACUGACGCUGAAGCACGAAAGCGUGGGUAUCAAACAGGAUUAGAUACCCUGGUAGUCCACGCAGUAAACGAUGAUAGCUGGGCGUAUGCGAUAUACAGUAUGCUCCUAAGCGAAAGCGUUAAGUUAUCCACCUGGGGAGUACGCCGGCAACGGUGAAACUCAAAGGAAUUGACGGGGGCCCGCACAAGCGGAGGAACAUGUGGUUUAAUUCGAUGAUACGCGAGGAACCUUACCCGGGAUUGAAAUGUAGAUGACCGCUCCUGAAAGGGAGUUUUCCAUCGGGACAUCUAUGUAGGUGCUGCAUGGUUGUCGUCAGCUCGUGCCGUGAGGUGUCGGCUUAAGUGCCAUAACGAGCGCAACCCCUGUCUACGGUUGCCAUCAGGUAAUGCUGGGAACUCCGUAGAGACUGCCGUCGUAAGGCGUGAGGAAGGUGGGGAUGACGUCAAAUCAGCACGGCCCUUACAUCCGGGGCGACACACGUGUUACAAUGGUAAGGACAAAGGGCAGCUACCUGGCGACAGGAUGCGAAUCUCUAAACCUUAUCACAGUUCGGAUCGGAGUCUGCAACUCGACUCCGUGAAGCUGGAUUCGCUAGUAAUCGCGCAUCAGCCAUGGCGCGGUGAAUACGUUCCCGGGCCUUGUACACACCGCCCGUCAAGCCAUGGGAGUCUGGAGUANCUAAAG
RNAcentral lists this ribosomal RNA (821 nucleotides) under uncultured bacterium. RNAcentral describes it as "bacterial SSU rRNA". It matches the Rfam family "Bacterial small subunit ribosomal RNA", at positions 602 to 1426 of the family's 1533-position model. The record is from RNAcentral.